RNAcentral lists this ribosomal RNA (292 nucleotides) under uncultured bacterium. RNAcentral's name for it is "partial 16S ribosomal RNA". It matches the Rfam family "Bacterial small subunit ribosomal RNA", at positions 505 to 796 of the family's 1533-position model. The record is from RNAcentral.
GUGUCAGCAGCCGCGGUAAGACGUAGGGGGCCAGCGUUGCUCGGAAUUACUGGGCGUAAAGGGUUCGUAGGCGGUGCGGUAAGUCGAGAGUAAAAUCUCCAGGCUCAACUUGGAGGCGCCUCCCGAAACUGCCGUGCUCGAGUGCUGGAGAGGCGAGUGGAAUUGCAGGUGUAGCGGUGAAAUGCGUAGAUAUCUGCAGGAACACCAGUGGCGAAGGCGGCUCGCUGGACAGCAACUGACGCUGAGGAACGAAAGCUAGGGGAGCAAACAGGAUUAGAUACCCUUGUAGUCC